This 433-nucleotide ribosomal RNA is filed under the name uncultured bacterium. RNAcentral's name for it is "partial 16S ribosomal RNA". It matches the Rfam family "Bacterial small subunit ribosomal RNA", at positions 29 to 507 of the family's 1533-position model. The record is from RNAcentral.
AACGAACGCUGGCGGCAUGCCUAACACAUGCAAGUCGAACGGCACCUUCGGGACUAGUGGCGCACGCGUGCGUAACGCGUGGGAAGCUGCCCUUAGGUUCGGAAUACUUCCCCGUCAGGGGUGCUAAUACCGGGUAACGUCCUCUGACCAAACAUAGAUCGCCUUUGGAUGGGCCCGCGUUGGAUUAGCCUGUUGCUAUGGUAAAAGCCUACCAAGGCGUCGCUCGAUAGCUGGUCUGAGAGGCAGGGCAGCCACACUGGGACUAAGACGCGGCCCGGAAUCCUACGGGAGGCAGGAGUGGGGGAUAUUGGACAAUCGGCGAAAGGCUGAUCCAGCAAUGCCGCGUGAGUGAUGAAGGUCUUAGGGAUGUAAAGCUCUUUUACCCGGGAUGAUAAUGACGGUACCGGGAGAAUAAGCUCCGGCUAACUCCGUG